This 101-nucleotide microRNA precursor is filed under the name Populus trichocarpa (black cottonwood). RNAcentral's name for it is "miR156f stem-loop (ptc-MIR156f)". Its record names the gene ptc-MIR156f. The stretch from base 10 to 94 matches the Rfam family "mir-156 microRNA precursor family". Rfam says of the family: This family represents the plant microRNA (miRNA) precursor mir-156. Animal miRNAs are transcribed as ~70nt precursors and subsequently processed by the Dicer enzyme to give a ~22nt product. The record is from miRBase by way of RNAcentral. Lineage: Eukaryota; Viridiplantae; Streptophyta; Magnoliopsida; Malpighiales; Salicaceae.
AGAGAAAGACUGACAGAAGAGAGUGAGCACACACGAAAGCUAAUUGUAUGAAAGCAUACCAUUGCAGGGUGUGUGCUCACUUCUCUUCUGUCAGCUUACAU